Molecule: non-coding RNA, 26 nt
Filed under: Rattus norvegicus (Norway rat)
Lineage: Eukaryota; Metazoa; Chordata; Mammalia; Rodentia; Muridae
Source: RNAcentral
AGGAAAGCCGUCUGCACAGAAGAUAA